AGCGCAGUCACGACGCCGCCACGGCCCGCCCCGGGCCCGGCCCCCCGACGCCACGGCUCCGGGCAGCGCCUGGGAACCACUCCAGGGGCCCGUGGCUGGUACUCCCAGAGGCGAGGAGCUCAUACCGAGGGCGAGGCGUUCCCGGAUAUUGCUGCAGUCUGAUGGAACUGAAGCUGGUGGCUGGCUGUGCGGCAGGGUGAAGGUGGACGACCUGCAGCUAACACAGUCUCUCAGGUCCUUGGUUUGAAGAUUCAUCUGGAAGGGUUUGUGAAAACGAAGUUAAAUACACUCUACACUUGCAGCGAUCAAUUCAAAAGGGCCUUUGCAAUCCCUUGGCUCAGCAACCUCAGUCCAAUUCAGAGGAGGAACCUGCUAUUCAUAU
Molecule: long non-coding RNA, 382 nt
Organism: Manis javanica (Malayan pangolin)
Lineage: Eukaryota; Metazoa; Chordata; Mammalia; Pholidota; Manidae
Source: RefSeq, a predicted model, not a curated record